UCGAAGUGGGGGGCGGGGGGGGCGGUAUGACUGAGGGGGCGGGGGUGGGUCGGAAGUACUGGGCGGAAAGGGCGCGUAGGGGGUUUGUCGCGGCGUCGGUGAAAUUCCGGGGCUUAAGUCCGGGCGUGCAGGCGAUACGGGCAUAACUUGAGUACUGUAGGGGAGACUGGAAUUCCUGGUGUAGCGGUGAAAUGCGCAGAUAUCAGGAGGAACACCGGUGGCGAAGGCGGGUCUCUGGGCAGUAACUGACGCUGAGGAGCGAAAGCAUGGGGAGCGAACAGGAUUAGAUACCCCGGUAGUC
Molecule: ribosomal RNA, 301 nt
Filed under: uncultured Slackia sp.
Lineage: Bacteria; Bacillati; Actinomycetota; Coriobacteriia; Eggerthellales; Eggerthellaceae
Description: partial 16S ribosomal RNA
Rfam family: Bacterial small subunit ribosomal RNA (bases 52-301)
Source: RNAcentral